CUGAUGCAGCCAUGCCGCGUGUAUGAAGAAGGCCUUCGGGUUGUAAAGACUUUCAGCGGGGAGGAAGGGAGUCAAGUUAAUACCUGUGCUCAUUGACGUUCCCCGCAAAAGAAGCACCGGCUAACUCCGUGCCAGCAGGCGCGGUUAUACGGAGGGU
Molecule: ribosomal RNA, 157 nt
Filed under: uncultured bacterium
Lineage: Bacteria
Description: partial 16S ribosomal RNA
Rfam family: Bacterial small subunit ribosomal RNA
Source: RNAcentral